UACGAAGGGGGCUAGCGUUGCUCGGAUUGACUGGGCGUAAAGGGCGCGUAGGCGGUUCGUACAGUCAGACGUGAAAUUCCUGGGCUCAACCUGGGGGCUGCGUUUGAUACUGGAUGGCUUGAGAUUGGGAGAGGGAUGCGGAAUUCCAGGUGUAGCGGUGAAAUGCGUAGAUAUCUGGAGGAACACCGGUGGCGAAGGCGGCAUCCUGGACCAACACUGACGCUGAGGAGCGAAAGCCAGGGGAGCAAACGGG
Molecule: ribosomal RNA, 253 nt
Filed under: uncultured bacterium
Lineage: Bacteria
Description: partial 16S ribosomal RNA
Rfam family: Bacterial small subunit ribosomal RNA
Source: RNAcentral